GUCCCCAUCGUCUAGAGGCCUAGGACACCGCCCUUUCACGGCGGCAACAGGGGUUCGAAUCCCCUUGGGGAUACCA
Molecule: transfer RNA, 76 nt
Filed under: Gammaproteobacteria bacterium
Lineage: Bacteria; Pseudomonadati; Pseudomonadota; Gammaproteobacteria
Description: tRNA-Glu
Rfam family: tRNA
About the family: Transfer RNA (tRNA) molecules are approximately 80 nucleotides in length. Their secondary structure includes four short double-helical elements and three loops (D, anti-codon, and T loops).
Source: RNAcentral